This 448-nucleotide ribosomal RNA is filed under the name uncultured bacterium. RNAcentral's name for it is "bacterial SSU rRNA". It matches the Rfam family "Bacterial small subunit ribosomal RNA", at positions 329 to 794 of the family's 1533-position model. The record is from RNAcentral.
CCCCAGACUCCUACGGGAGGCAGCAGUGGGGAAUAUUGCACAAUGGGGGAAACCCUGAUGCAGCGACGCCGCGUGAGCGAUGAAGUAUUUCGGUAUGUAAAGCUCUAUCAGCAGGGAAGAAAAUGACGGUACCUGACUAAGAAGCCCCGGCUAACUACGUGCCAGCAGCCGCGGUAAUACGUAGGGGGCAAGCGUUAUCCGGAUUUACUGGGUGUAAAGGGAGCGUAGACGGCAAUGCAAGCCAGAUGUGAAAGCCCGGGGCUCAACCCCGGGACUGCAUUUGGAACUGUGUGACUGGAGUGUCGGAGAGGCAGGCGGAAUUCCUAGUGUAGCGGUGAAAUGCGUAGAUAUUAGGAGGAACACCAGUGGCGAAGGCGGCCUGCUGGACGAUGACUGACGUUGAGGCUCGAAAGCGUGGGGAGCAAACAGGAUUAGAUACCCCAGUAAA